Molecule: ribosomal RNA, 461 nt
Filed under: uncultured bacterium
Lineage: Bacteria
Description: bacterial SSU rRNA
Rfam family: Bacterial small subunit ribosomal RNA
Source: RNAcentral
AAUCAACGCUGGCGGCGUGCCUCAGACAUGCAAGUCGAACGAUUAAAGCUCUCUUCGGAGAGUGUAUAGAGUGGCGCACGGGUGAGUAACACGUAAGUAAUCUACCUUUGAGUGGGGAAUAACAGUCGGAAACGACUGCUAAUACCGCAUAAUGCAGCGGCACCGCAAGGUGACAGUUGUUAAAGGAGCAAUUCGCUUAAAGAGGAGCUUGCGGCAGAUUAGCUUGUUGGUAAGGUAACGGCUUACCAAGGCUACGAUCUGUAUCCGGUCUUAGAGGACGGUCGGACACACUGACACUGAAUAACGGGUCAGACUCCUACGGGAGGCAGCAGCCGGGAAUUUUGGGCAAUGGGCGAAAGCCUGGCCCAGCAACGCCGCGUGAAGGAUGAAAUCCCUCGGGAUGUAAACUUCGCAAGAACGGGAAGAAUAAGUAGGGGACAAUACCCCCUAUGAUGACGGUA